AUCUAACUGACGGGUCUCAAAUAAUAUGAAACACGUGUCCUGGAU
Molecule: non-coding RNA, 45 nt
Filed under: Schistosoma margrebowiei
Lineage: Eukaryota; Metazoa; Platyhelminthes; Trematoda; Strigeidida; Schistosomatidae
Source: RNAcentral